UCUCCGUAGGUGAACCUGCGGAGGGAUCAUUACAGAGUUCAUGCCCUACCGGGUAGAUCUCCCACCCUAUGUUAUUAUUACUUUGUUGCUUUGGCGGGCCGUUAGGCUCCGGCCUGGCUACCGGCUCCGGCUGGUAAGCGCCCGCCAGAGGACCCCAAACCCUGAAUGUUAGUGUCGUCUGAGUACUAUAUAAUAGUUAAAACUUUCAACAACGGAUCUCUUGGUUCUG
RNAcentral lists this unclassified non-coding RNA (229 nucleotides) under plant metagenome. Its description in RNAcentral is "partial contains small subunit ribosomal RNA, internal transcribed spacer 1, and 5.8S ribosomal RNA". The record is from RNAcentral.